This 449-nucleotide long non-coding RNA is filed under the name Capra hircus (goat). RNAcentral describes it as "lncRNA (ENSCHIG00000004317.1)". Lineage: Eukaryota; Metazoa; Chordata; Mammalia; Artiodactyla; Bovidae. The record is from RNAcentral.
GUCACAACAGUCCUGAUGGGUAGGUAUUGUUCUUCACAUUUUAGAGAUGGGAAGACUGAGGCUGGAAGACUAAGGCUGUGUAUGACACAUGAGUGAAUGACAAGUUGAUUCAUGCCCUUUCCACUGUAACAUGCUGCCUUGAAGAGAGAAACAUAUUCCAAGACGAUCCUCAAGAGCCAGUAUGAGAGCAAACAAUGCCUGAAAGACAGCUCAGUUUGGAAGAGUUUCUUCCUUCAGGAAAUGCUAUUUUGUCAGGAGAAUUGCAGAUUUUGAUGCCAAAGAAGUCUUUUGGUGAAGAAGUAGGAGUUCCUGGAUGAAGAUAAAGUGAGUACUCCCCGGAGCUGCUUCUGCCAGUGUCCUAGUCCCCAUAAUGAGCCACACCCAUCCCCUCCCUCCACAGGAGACCUUCUGAUACCAGCAGGUAAGUCUGGCCCAGUCUUUUAUGAGGU